UGGGGAAUAUUGCACAAUGGGCGCAAGCCUGAUGCAGCCAUGCCGCGUGUAUGAAGAAGGCCUUCGGGUUGUAAAGUACUUUCAGCGAGGAGGAAGGCGUUGUGGUUAAUAACCGCAGCGAUUGACGUUACUCGCAGAAGAAGCACCGGCUAACUCCGUGCCAGCAGCCAGCGGUAAUACGGAGGGUGCAAGCGUUAAUCGGAAUUACUGGGCGUAAAGCGCACGCAGGCGGUCUGUCAAGUCGGAUGUGAAAUCCCCGGGCUCAACCUGGGAACUGCAUCCGAAACUGGCAGGCUAGAGUCUUGUAGAGGGGGUAGAAUUCCAGGUGUAGCGGUGAAAUUGCGUAGAGAUCUGGAGGAAUACCGGUGGCGAAGGCGGCCCCCUGGACAAAGACUGACGCUCAGGUGCGAAAGCGUGGGAGCAAACA
RNAcentral lists this ribosomal RNA (427 nucleotides) under uncultured Enterobacteriaceae bacterium. Its description in RNAcentral is "bacterial SSU rRNA". It matches the Rfam family "Bacterial small subunit ribosomal RNA", at positions 355 to 774 of the family's 1533-position model. The record is from RNAcentral. Lineage: Bacteria; Pseudomonadati; Pseudomonadota; Gammaproteobacteria; Enterobacterales; Enterobacteriaceae.